This 365-nucleotide small RNA is filed under the name Pan troglodytes (chimpanzee). RNAcentral describes it as "transcribed unitary pseudogene". The record is from RNAcentral. Lineage: Eukaryota; Metazoa; Chordata; Mammalia; Primates; Hominidae.
AUACCUUCCUGCCAGGCUGCAGGUCCCUCCCCGGCCCGGGGCAGCCCGGCGUUGAGAGAUGGAGCCCAAAGACCAGCCACUAAUGCUGAGGGGCACGGGGCUGAGCUGCUGCCUUCACCUCUUCACAGAGACUGAGCAGAUCCCAGAGCAGCCGCCCUGGUGACUGCCUGCAGGUGGCACUUCGAAUCCGCCUGCUCAAUGUCGCAGAACUGGAGGAGGGAGCCGCGGUCAUCGCCCACAAAGUGGGGGACCAGAUGGUGGUGCUCAUGGACCCCGGCGAGGACCCUGAGGACGUGGCGCGCACACACCGGUCCCGGGAGUGGACCUUCAUCUUCGACAGGGUGUUUGACCAGCAUGCGUCUCAG